Molecule: long non-coding RNA, 375 nt
Filed under: Pan troglodytes (chimpanzee)
Lineage: Eukaryota; Metazoa; Chordata; Mammalia; Primates; Hominidae
Description: long non-coding RNA NONPTRT000553
Source: RNAcentral
AGAGAAGAGUGUGAAGCCUGCUUGGAGAAGAGGAGGAGGCUGAAAAGAAGGCAAAGAGUGAAGAUAGAGAAACAAGAUGGAAGUGGGGGAGAAAAACAGGGAUGAGAGAAUGCCAUGGUGGUGCUGAGAAGGAAAGGAGAGACUUUUCUGCUUGUAAAGGGCAGAAGAUGGCAGAAUCCAGUGACGCAGGGGCAUCUGGCUCCAGAAAUAAUAGGUCACUUGGCACCCACUUCUUCAAAACGGAGCAGGAGAAGAUCAGAGAAAUCUGCUACAAAACCAAGGAGGUGAGGGAGAAGAGGACCAAAUACUCACCUAGCACAUGCUCACUCUUCUCACAGGUGACUGUGGUUAUGACUGGCUAAAUAAUUUGUGAGG